Long non-coding RNA from Rhododendron vialii, 2004 nucleotides. RefSeq lists it as uncharacterized. The record is from RefSeq and is a predicted model, not a curated record. Lineage: Eukaryota; Viridiplantae; Streptophyta; Magnoliopsida; Ericales; Ericaceae. The transcript is spliced from 6 exons.
AGCGUUCUUUUAAGAAUGCUAUAAUAAAGGACCAACAAUAGCAUUCCUUAAACUACAAGGACCAACAACAGCGUUUCAAAAACACGGAAGGAAUUUAUAGCAUUUUCAUUUAAACCUCGUCUACAGACUACAGCGUUUCGACCUAAAUAUAUUGGGCGGAAACCCUUGGACACCUCUGAAAUUUUCGAACCCUCCACCAGGGGAUGGGGCUUCCGAUUCUCGAGUUUUGAAUGCUGGAACCGACCUUCUCGACGAAUCCUCCGAAGCCACUUGUGCCGUUGAGGUUUUCGUCACUGGCGGAGGGCUUGAAGACCAGGGAUCGACAGACUUAGCUGAUGAAGUCAUUCGUUUUCUGAAAUAUUGGGCGAAAAACCUUGGAUCCUCACAAACGCCUUUGAAAUUUUCUCAAUCAUUGUUGUGCGAACUGGUUUGGAUGGAUCUGUUGUGAUUCUAGACUUUUGUUCAUUUCAGUUUGGAAGGAGUUAUAGUUGAACAUUUAGACAAUGGCAGUCAAUUGGUUCACAACAAUGGACAUAGAUGGCCUCAUCAGUUUUUCAACAUCGAGUUCGCUGAUGUCUGAUGUCGCCCAUGACAGGUGGAAUUUGAUUCUAAUGGAAAAGCCUUUGGAGUGACAUCGGAAGGAGAAACUGCAAAAUGCAAAAAAGUAGUUUGUGAUCCUUCAAAUUUGCCUAGCAAGGUAAAGAAGGUUGGGGAAGUAGCUCGUGCUAUAUGCAUUAUGAGUCAUCCCAUCCCUCACACCCAUGAUGCUCACUCAGUCCAGGUUAUUCUGCCCCAGAAACAACUUCGUCUUAAGUCUGAUGUAUAUAUGGGAUCAAUGUGACAUCUGGUGCUGUUGUUUCAGCUUUGAAUAUCUCCUCGGGAGAUCAUGUCACCUGCUUGCAGAGGAUGGCGGGCUUGAUUGGAAUGUGCUUGAGGGUGCAGUGACAGCUUGCAAAGGAUGGCAGGCUUAACUUGAAUUUUACUCUCCCCUAUAGAGGUAUGUUCUACUUUUGAACACACCUUUCAAUUCCAUCAUGACAGAUUUCCAUCAAACGUCUAAGCUGACCAAAUGUCAUUUAUCAGAGCUGUUUUCUUAUUUUUCUUUGACCUCUAUGUUGUAUCUUUGGUUUUAUAGCCUUCCAAAAGUUGUAUUUUGCUCACUGAGACUCGUAUGCUGGGUACUCAUGCGUUUCUUAUCUAGGUAUUUAACUAUCUGCUCUAUAAAACUAAAAUGGUUUUGACACCUGCAUGAGUUAGAAGAAAAGUUGAAAUUUCGGAAGAGAAAAACAGUGACAUACUAAUAUGAUAUGAAAUUGUAUUGCGUAAGCACUAUAGUAAUUAUUGUACAGGAGUUAAAUAGGUUUAUUCUUGGUUUUCAUUAGUUUAAGCUGCAUAAUAUUGUGGCUUCCACUACUAAUGCUCAAGACAUGUUCUCCUGAUACUGAGUAACCGGGAUUUAUACUUUGUGUAAAAAAUUUAUUAUCAAGGUGAGACAACAAUGCGGACAUAACAAUUAAGCUUGUUGGCUGUAACCUGAUUUUGUAUUCCGGUAUUCCCUUGAAAAGCAAAAGUGAGUUGAUCAUUUCAAAUUUCCUGAAAGAUUUAAUGAUAAAAAAUUUCAAAAUCUGUCUAGGGAUGACGGUGCUAAAGAUACAACAUACACUUUUUUUAACCUCUUGUUUUUCAUUAAUAUAGAGCUUUAUCUAUUUCCUUGGAAUUCGUCCUCUUCCCUAACUACUCAUUACUGAUCAUUACUGAUUGAAAGGGUGCUUUAGACUCAUUAUGUGAUGCUUCAGAAUGGUUUAGUGAUGGUUUCUGCAAUUGGUAUUCUAUGUUUGUGAAUACUAUAUAUAAUAUUCGUGCUUUAGACUCAGUAUGUGCACCAUGUUCAUCCCACUCCUCUUUAUUCCUGAAAAUUCUUUCAUUCUCUUCAAAGAUUAAAGAAUGUUAUGUUCAGCUUGGUUUGGUGUUUUUGCGGAUAUUUUUGUAGCUGUCCUUGUUGUU